UACACACCUCAGAGCCAACUUCAAUAAAGAAUUUUAUUCUAAAUUUACUACUAAAUCCACCUUAAUAAUAUGUAUUACAUAUACUAAUCCGUAUAAUUAUAAUUUAUUGUAACCCACUUCUCCCAUAUUUAUAAGCUGCACCUUGACCUGAAGUCAUAAAUUUAAAAUUAACUAGAUUAUAUUUUCUAAAAAUAAUCUGACAACGGCGGUAUACAAACUGAAUACAAAAAUAUGUACAUUUAAACGUGGAAUAUCGAUCCAAGAGCAGGUUCCUCUAGUAAGAAUGAAGUACCGCCAAAUUCUUUAGGUUUAAAGAUCUCUACUACCCUGGCAACAAAUUUAAUAGGGA
RNAcentral lists this ribosomal RNA (349 nucleotides) under Triops cancriformis. RNAcentral's name for it is "partial 12S ribosomal RNA". Lineage: Eukaryota; Metazoa; Arthropoda; Branchiopoda; Notostraca; Triopsidae. The record is from RNAcentral.